GCGGAGAGCAUAUCGACGGUGGAAACGCUACCCAGACGUGACGGCGGGGGAGGCGGUCGGGGUUCCGGAUAAAAUAAAGGUUGACGAGCGUUGAGCACCGCUAUCAGUAACCGGAGGAAGUUUACCAAACACUAAGACUAACCUAAAGCAUUUGAAAUUGCAAUCAGCGUCAGUAACAAAUUAAUAAUUACAACUUUCAACAACGGAUCUCUUGGUUCUGGCAUCGAUGAAGAACGCGGCGAAAUGCGAUAAGUAGUGUGAAUUGCAGAAUUCAGUGAAUCAUCGAAUCUUUGAACGCACAUUGCGCCCUUUGGUAUUCCAAAGGGCAUGCCUGUUCGAGCGUCAUUUGUACCCUCAAGCUUUGCUUGGUGUUGGGCGUCUUGUCUCUAGCUUUGCUGGAGACUCGCCUUAAAGUAAUUGGCAGCCGGCCUACUGGUUUCCGAACGACACAGGAGACGCACUCUCCAUGGGCGAAAGUCUGGCAGGCUUUAACCCUUUUUUUUAUUUUUUGACCUCGGAUCCCGCAGGGAUACCCGCGGAGACUUUGCAUAUACUUUAACGUCCAGAAAAA
RNAcentral lists this ribosomal RNA (571 nucleotides) under Alternaria alternata. RNAcentral's name for it is "eukaryotic LSU rRNA". The stretch from base 192 to 345 matches the Rfam family "5.8S ribosomal RNA". The record is from RNAcentral. Lineage: Eukaryota; Fungi; Ascomycota; Dothideomycetes; Pleosporales; Pleosporaceae.